AGUGAACGCUGGCGGUAGGCCUAACACAUGCAAGUCGAACGGCAGCACAGGAGAGCUUGCUCUCUGGGUGGCGAGUGGCGGACGGGUGAGGAAUACAUCGGAAUCUACUUUUUCGUGGGGGAUAACGUAGGGAAACUUACGCUAAUACCGCAUACGACCUACGGGUGAAAGCAGGGGGUCUUCGGACCUUGCGCGAUUGAAUGAGCCGAUGUCGGGUUAGCUAGUUGGCGGGGUAAAGGCCCACCAAGGCGACGAUCCGUAGCUGGUCUGAGAGGAUGAUCAGCCACACUGGAACUGAGACACGGUCCAGACUCCUACGGGAGGCAGCAGUGGGGAAUAUUGGACAAUGGGCGCAAGCCUGAUCCAGCCAUACCGCGUGGGUGAAGAAGGCCUUCGGGUUGUAAAGCCCUUUUGUUGGGAAAGAAAUCCAGCUGGUUAAUACCCGGCUGGGAUGACGGUACCCAAAGAAUAAGCACCGGCUAACUUCGUGCCAGCCGCCGCGGUAA
Molecule: ribosomal RNA, 506 nt
Filed under: uncultured bacterium
Lineage: Bacteria
Description: partial 16S ribosomal RNA
Rfam family: Bacterial small subunit ribosomal RNA
Source: RNAcentral